Molecule: transfer RNA, 56 nt
Filed under: Amphiscirpus nevadensis
Lineage: Eukaryota; Viridiplantae; Streptophyta; Magnoliopsida; Poales; Cyperaceae
Description: partial tRNA-Leu
Source: RNAcentral
AGAGAGAGUCCAUUCUACAUGUCAAUAUCGACAACAUUCAAGUCCCUCUAUCCCCA